UUCAGGGAACUCUGAAUGUACCAUGAAUUAAGAUGGAAGACUGGGUGAUAUGAAUCUACGGGAUAUUUCUGUUCCUAAAAGUAUUGGCUCUGAUAUUUACUUUUGCAAAAGAGAAGAGAUGCAACGAAGGCUUCCUGCCAGAGACAACUUCUCUCCUCCCUACAGGAUAGUCUAUUAAAGCAAUAGCAUAAAUAUUUGGGAAAAAAAUCACAAUUUUCUUCAUUUUAUAAAAGCAAAACAACAAACAAUCAAACAAAAUUGUCAAGAAAAAAUCAUUUCUCAAGCCCUGGAUGAGGCCCACAGCUGAAAACUUUCAUGAUCUCCAUCAGAAAACAAACAGCAUAUAAAGAACUGAGUUCAGCAGCCCUAACUUGGCGGGGGCUUGCUUCCCCACGCCGACUGGCAGGGAUCAUUUUAACAGAAACAGAAACUUUAACUUUAGAACCUGCUGCUCCAAUGUGCUGCAGUUUACGAAGACAAAAAUGUGUGAUGGUAUGGCAGGGACUCUGCUCUGAAGAACAUAACGUGAAAAUGGUAACUAAAUAAAAUUAAAAAUAAUAAGAGCUGCUUUGAAGGAACUGCUGCAGGCUGGGUACGGCAUGUGAUCCUUAGUACAAAUAUCAGUAUAAAAAAGUUUGGAGCCUGACUGAGCUGCAGCAAUAAGGGUGGACAUGAAUUAUAUUUUUUAAAUUAUUUACAACUUCACAGUGUCUGUGGCUUUAAAUUAUUGAUGACAGUGACAGCAACCCUCAAUGAGACAAAGCAUCCACUGAAACAACAGCAGAAAGCUAUGGUGCUGGGGACUGGUUUGGUUCAGCCCUUCCAAUCCUUCUUAUUAAGGAAAAGUGACACUUCUCUCAUGGUAGGAGAGCAGAAAGAAUAGGAAAGAAAAUCAUUUUAAAACAAGAAGUUUCCUGCAAUAUUUUUUGAUUAUAGUGUAUCUCUCAGAACUCUUGGUAUAGCAGAAAAGUUCUAACUGGAUCACUUGCUGCAAAGACCUUGCUGGAUCUUUGCAGCAAGUGACUGCAUAAUGUUUGCUGUAAUACUUUUUUAUACGUGGGGUUAUAACAGACAAAAGGUUCUUGCUGCACUGUGAAGGAUGAGGAAACACUGUUAGAGACACACUAUGGGCCACAUUUGUCACCACCUUUGCCCCAUAGCAUGUUGUCCAGAGCAGUGCAACUCCGCAUCAAGGAAGUACCUCCUAGACAAAGUUAUCAGCUUCUCCAGACUUGAUAGAAGUACUUGCACUUCUCCCUUAUAGCAGCAACCAUCAGGAGACUUGCGAAUAAUCUGUCUUCUUUAUUACUGCCACUCUCUCCUGCUGACCUAUGUGGCUGUAAUCUCCUCAAUCUGUCUCCAUAUAUCUGACUGUUUCCUAAUAAAGUUUUGUCCUGCCAGGUGCA
RNAcentral lists this long non-coding RNA (1406 nucleotides) under Numida meleagris (helmeted guineafowl). Its description in RNAcentral is "lncRNA (ENSNMEG00000019979.1)". The record is from RNAcentral. Lineage: Eukaryota; Metazoa; Chordata; Aves; Galliformes; Numididae.